AAACACAAAAAUGUGUCUUGGUGUGUUUAAGGGUUAAAAAAAACUAGACUUUUCUUGACGUUUGCUGCUGGGAAAAACGAGUUUGAAGACAGAACCACAUGUCCCAUGAUGCCUCGCGGUCAAGCGAUGACCAAAUGGAACACAGCAGCAGCAACAGCAACAGCGAGGAGCCACUUUGACAGCUGAGCUUCAAGUUUGCUGAGGGCAGGUCUCUCUCCGGCGCCGCCGACAUUAACGACCUUGAACAGAGACACAAGUCAAACAAACAUGACGCACUCAGCACAGGGCAGAAGCCGGCCGGUGAAGCAGCAUUAGCAGCAGAGGUUGUUUUAUUAUUUGAUGGGGGAUACACUGACUUCACUACCUCUCCUACACACAGACCAUCGUAUGCUAAGAAAACACCUGCAGCAGCAGCACAUCGUAUUCUCAGCCGGCCAGAGUCUGAUGCCCUGGAAACGUUCUCCCUGAGCCACCAGGGGGCCUCAGUCCCACAGUGGCACACCAAGCUUUGCAUUUGUCUUCACCCUGAACCCUUCAGCCCCAG
Solea senegalensis (Senegalese sole) is the source of this 544-nucleotide long non-coding RNA. RefSeq lists it as uncharacterized. NCBI's taxonomy places the organism in Eukaryota, Metazoa, Chordata, Actinopteri, Pleuronectiformes, Soleidae. The record is from RefSeq and is a predicted model, not a curated record. The transcript is spliced from 3 exons.